RNAcentral lists this ribosomal RNA (390 nucleotides) under Priestia megaterium. RNAcentral describes it as "bacterial SSU rRNA". It matches the Rfam family "Bacterial small subunit ribosomal RNA", at positions 71 to 452 of the family's 1533-position model. Lineage: Bacteria; Bacillati; Bacillota; Bacilli; Caryophanales; Bacillaceae. The record is from RNAcentral.
GAUUAAAGCUUGCUUCUAUGACGUUAGCGGCGGACGGGUGAGUAACACGUGGGCAACCUGCCUGUAAGACUGGGAUAACUUCGGGAAACCGAAGCUAAUACCGGAUAGGAUCUUCUCCUUCAUGGGAGAUGAUUGAAAGAUGGUUUCGGCUAUCACUUACAGAUGGGCCCGCGGUGCAUUAGCUAGUUGGUGAGGUAACGGCUCACCAAGGCAACGAUGCAUAGCCGACCUGAGAGGGUGAUCGGCCACACUGGGACUGAGACACGGCCCAGACUCCUACGGGAGGCAGCAGUAGGGAAUCUUCCGCAAUGGACGAAAGUCUGACGGAGCAACGCCGCGUGAGUGAUGAAGGCUUUCGGGUCGUAAAACUCUGUUGUUAGGGAAGAACAA